GGCCCUAUCGUCUAUCGGCUAGGACGGAGCCUUCUCAAGGCUUAAAGCAGGGUUCGAUUCCCUGUAGGGUCACCA
RNAcentral lists this transfer RNA (75 nucleotides) under Candidatus Vogelbacteria bacterium. RNAcentral describes it as "tRNA-Glu". It matches the Rfam family "tRNA". From Rfam's summary of the family: Transfer RNA (tRNA) molecules are approximately 80 nucleotides in length. The record is from RNAcentral. Lineage: Bacteria; Candidatus Vogeliibacteriota.